This 336-nucleotide ribosomal RNA is filed under the name Clostridioides difficile. RNAcentral describes it as "partial 23S ribosomal RNA". It matches the Rfam family "Bacterial large subunit ribosomal RNA", at positions 1548 to 1896 of the family's 2925-position model. The record is from RNAcentral. Lineage: Bacteria; Bacillati; Bacillota; Clostridia; Peptostreptococcales; Peptostreptococcaceae.
UGAUAAUGCUGGGAAGUGAUGGGGAGCGAAAUUUAGUAGCGAAGUAGCUGAUUUCACACUGUCAAGAAAAGUCUCUAUCGAGGUUAAAGGUACCCGUACCGCAAACCGACACAGGUGGGUGAGGAGAGUAUCCUAAGGCCCGCGAGAGAACUGUUGUUAAGGAACUCGGCAAAAUGACCCCGUAACGUAGGGAUAAGGGGUGCCACCAUCCGGUGGCCGCAGAGAAUAGGCCCAAGCGACUGUUUACCAAAAACAUAGGUUUCUGCUAAGUCGCAAGACGAUGUAUAGGAGCUGACGCCUGCCCGGUGCUGGAAGGUUAAGGGGAUCUGUUAGAGC